Molecule: ribosomal RNA, 256 nt
Filed under: uncultured bacterium
Lineage: Bacteria
Description: partial 16S ribosomal RNA
Rfam family: Bacterial small subunit ribosomal RNA
Source: RNAcentral
UACGGGGGGGAGCAAGCGUUGUUCGGAUUUACUGGGCGUAAAGGGCGCGUAGGCGAUCGUGACAAGUCACUUGUGAAAUCUCCGGGCUUAACUCGGAACGGUCAAGUGAUACUGUCGGACUAGAGUACAGAAGGGGCAACUGGAAUUCUCGGUGUAGCGGUGAAAUGCGUAGAUAUCGAGAGGAACACCUGCGGCGAAGGCGGGUUGCUGGGCUGACACUGACGCUGAGGCGCGAAAGCUAGGGGAGCGAACGGGG